Molecule: ribosomal RNA, 377 nt
Filed under: uncultured bacterium
Lineage: Bacteria
Description: bacterial SSU rRNA
Rfam family: Bacterial small subunit ribosomal RNA
Source: RNAcentral
AUACGUAGGGUCCAAGCGUUGUCCGGAAUUACUGGGUAUAAAGGGUGCGCAGGCGGAUUUGUGCGUCUGGGGUUAAAGACCACGGCUUAACUGUGGGAAUGCCCUAGAUACGGCAAAUCUUGAGUAUGAGAGAGGAAGAUGGAAUUCCUGGUGUAGCGGUGAAAUGCGUAGAUAUCAGGAGGAACACCGGUGGCGAAGGCGGUCUUCUGGCUCAUUACUGACGCUUAGGCACGAAAGCGCGGGUAGCAAACAGGAUUAGAUACCCUGGUAGUCCGCGCCGUAAACGAUGUAUGCUUGGUGUUAGAUUCGUUUUAGAAUCUAGUGCCGGAGUAAAUACGUUAAGCAUACCACCUGGGAAGUACGAUCGCAAGGUUGAA